Molecule: long non-coding RNA, 278 nt
Filed under: Setaria viridis
Lineage: Eukaryota; Viridiplantae; Streptophyta; Magnoliopsida; Poales; Poaceae
Description: long non-coding RNA (SVIR_LNC003162)
Source: RNAcentral
GUGAAUCAUCGUCCUUGGCAAGAGCAGGUGGCUUCAUGUUGGGCCAGUAGAUAAAUCUAUCUUGUGGAGUCGAUGUGAUUAUUAGGCCCUGUUGUGGACCUGAUAAAGGGGUCUCCUUGUCCGGGUCCGAGUAGUAGUCGAGGUCCUCGAAUGUAUCUAUUUCAGAUUGUGAUCUGGACAGGACUGUCUCAUCAGUAGUGGUCGUGUUGUGGAGUCCAAACAGGAAUCGACUCGAGUAGUAGUCCUACUUGCAAGAUGGUUUAUGCGCCGGCUUGUGA